CCUGACGACCAUAGCGUGCCGGCACCACCCGAUCCCUUCCCGAACUCGGUAGUGAAACGGCUCCGCGCCGAUGGUAGUGUGGGGUCUCCCCAUGUGAGAGUAGGUCAUCGUCAGGCACCC
RNAcentral lists this ribosomal RNA (120 nucleotides) under Kushneria marisflavi. The record is from RNAcentral. Lineage: Bacteria; Pseudomonadati; Pseudomonadota; Gammaproteobacteria; Oceanospirillales; Halomonadaceae.